RNAcentral lists this ribosomal RNA (458 nucleotides) under Vibrio parahaemolyticus. RNAcentral describes it as "partial 23S ribosomal RNA". It matches the Rfam family "Bacterial large subunit ribosomal RNA", at positions 791 to 1251 of the family's 2925-position model. Lineage: Bacteria; Pseudomonadati; Pseudomonadota; Gammaproteobacteria; Vibrionales; Vibrionaceae. The record is from RNAcentral.
GAAAAAUUAGCGGAUGACUUGUGGCUAGGGGUGAAAGGCCAAUCAAACCUGGAGAUAGCUGGUUCUCCCCGAAAGCUAUUUAGGUAGCGCCUCGGACGAAUACUACUGGGGGUAGAGCACUGUUAAGCUAGGGGGUCAUCCCGACUUACCAACCCUUUGCAAACUCCGAAUACCAGUAAGUACUAUCCGGGAGACACACGGCGGGUGCUAACGUCCGUCGUGGAGAGGGAAACAACCCAGACCGUCAGCUAAGGUCCCAAAUUACUACUAAGUGGGAAACGAUGUGGGAAGGCUCAGACAGCCAGGAUGUUGGCUUAGAAGCAGCCAUCAUUUAAAGAAAGCGUAAUAGCUCACUGGUCGAGUCGGCCUGCGCGGAAGAUGUAACGGGGCUAAGUAGUAAACCGAAGCUGCGGCAAUGUGCUUUUGCACAUUGGGUAGGGGAGCGUUCUGUAAGCGGU